This 177-nucleotide small RNA is filed under the name Alcaligenes sp. RNAcentral describes it as "Manganese sequence". It matches the Rfam family "Manganese Mn2+ riboswitch aptamer (yybP-ykoY)". From Rfam's summary of the family: This RNA was originally discovered in E. coli during a large scale screen and was named SraF. Lineage: Bacteria; Pseudomonadati; Pseudomonadota; Betaproteobacteria; Burkholderiales; Alcaligenaceae. The record is from RNAcentral.
CGCUUCGUCAUUAGGGAGUAGCCGCUUCGGUUUACCGAAGAUCAGCGUCAACAUACUUGACCUACACAGGGUCAUGGCGCUGAUAGCAACUUAGCCUGGCAAGACUUUUGACCAUGGACCUUCGCGUUUGGCCGGGAGGGUUUGUGGUCAUCUGUCUCUUAUCCGGCCAGGAGUUGU